UGGUGAUGAUGAGGGCGAUUCCUGAGCAUAAUCUUAAAUCUAUCCAAGCUUGGUAAAUAUUCUCUCCAUCUUUUUGCCUGAAACCCAGAAUCUCACUUCUCAAAUG
Capsicum annuum is the source of this 106-nucleotide non-coding RNA. The record is from Rfam. Lineage: Eukaryota; Viridiplantae; Streptophyta; Magnoliopsida; Solanales; Solanaceae.